Molecule: ribosomal RNA, 371 nt
Filed under: uncultured bacterium
Lineage: Bacteria
Description: bacterial SSU rRNA
Rfam family: Bacterial small subunit ribosomal RNA
Source: RNAcentral
AGAGGCCCCAAGCGUUACUGAGAAUCACCGGGUUUAAAGGGUGCGUAGGUGGUCCGUUAAGUCCGUUGUGAAAUCCCUGGGCUCAACCCAGGAACUGCUUCGGAUACUGGCGGACUUGAGGCGAGUAGGGGUCACUGGAACUGACGGUGGAGCGGUGAAAUGCGUAGAUAUCGUCAGGAACGCCGAUGGUGAAGACAGGUGACUGGGCUCGAUCUGACACUGAGGCACGAAAGCGUGGGGAUCAAACGGGAUUAGAUACCCCGGUAGUCCACGCCCUAAACGAUGCAGACUAGACUGCAGCGGGUUACACCCCGUUGCGGUCGGAGCGAAAUUGUUAAGUCUGCCACCUGGGAAGUACGGUCGCAAGGCUA